GCCUUCGUGGUGUAGUGGUCAGCAGGCUCGCCUCGUAUUCGAGAGGUCCGUGGUUCGAUUCCUGGCGAGGGCA
Molecule: transfer RNA, 73 nt
Filed under: Stegodyphus mimosarum
Lineage: Eukaryota; Metazoa; Arthropoda; Arachnida; Araneae; Eresidae
Description: tRNA-Thr for anticodon CGU
Rfam family: tRNA
About the family: Transfer RNA (tRNA) molecules are approximately 80 nucleotides in length. Their secondary structure includes four short double-helical elements and three loops (D, anti-codon, and T loops). Further hydrogen bonds mediate the characteristic L-shaped molecular structure. tRNAs have two regions of fundamental functional importance: the anti-codon, which is responsible for specific mRNA codon recognition, and the 3' end, to which the tRNAs corresponding amino acid is attached (by aminoacyl-tRNA synthetases). tRNAs cope with the degeneracy of the genetic code in two manners: having more than one tRNA (with a specific anti-codon) for a particular amino acid; and 'wobble' base-pairing, i.e. permitting non-standard base-pairing at the 3rd anti-codon position.
Source: Rfam by way of RNAcentral